UGCGUAGGCGGCACGUUAAGUCAGUGGUGAAAGCCUCCCGCUCAACGGGAGAAAUGCCAUUGAUACUGGCGUGCUUGAGUACGGACGAGGUAGGCGGAAUUUAUGGUGUAGCGGUGAAAUGCAUAGAUACCAUAAAGAACACCGAUAGCGUAGGCAGCUUACUAGACCGUAACUGACGCUGAGGCACGAAAGCGUGGGGAGCGAACAGGAUUAGAUACCCUGGUAGUC
RNAcentral lists this ribosomal RNA (228 nucleotides) under uncultured bacterium. RNAcentral's name for it is "partial 16S ribosomal RNA". It matches the Rfam family "Bacterial small subunit ribosomal RNA", at positions 568 to 795 of the family's 1533-position model. The record is from RNAcentral.